GCCGACUUAGCUCAGCUGGCAGAGCAUCUGUCUUGUAAACAGGGGGUCGGAGGUUCGA
RNAcentral lists this transfer RNA (58 nucleotides) under Ligilactobacillus equi DPC 6820. Its description in RNAcentral is "Lactobacillus equi DPC 6820 tRNA". It matches the Rfam family "tRNA", at positions 1 to 56 of the family's 71-position model. From Rfam's summary of the family: Transfer RNA (tRNA) molecules are approximately 80 nucleotides in length. Their secondary structure includes four short double-helical elements and three loops (D, anti-codon, and T loops). Lineage: Bacteria; Bacillati; Bacillota; Bacilli; Lactobacillales; Lactobacillaceae. The record is from Rfam by way of RNAcentral.